GAUGAACGCUAGCGGCAGGCUUAACACAUGCAAGUCGAGGGGUAUAGGCUUUCGGGCCUAGAGACCGGCGCACGGGUGCGUAACGCGUAUGCAAUCUGCCUUACACUAAGGGAUAGCCCAGAGAAAUUUGGAUUAAUACCUUAUAGUAUAUUGAUGUGGCAUCACAUUAUUAUUAAAGAUUUAUCGGUGUAAGAUGAGCAUGCGUCCCAUUAGCUAGUUGGUGUGGUAACGGCAUACCAAGGCGAUGAUGGGUAGGGGUCCUGAGAGGGAGAUCCCCCACACUGGUACUGAGACACGGACCAGACUCCUACGGGAGGCAGCAGUGAGGAAUAUUGGACAAUGGGCGCAAGCCUGAUCCAGCCAUGCCGCGUGCAGGAUGACGGUCCUAUGGAUUGUAAACUGCUUUUGUACGGGAAGAAACACUCCAACGUGUUGGAGCUUGACGGUACCGUAAGAAUAAGGAUCGGCUAACUCCGUGCCAGCAGCCGCGGUAAUACGGAGGAUCCAAGCGUUAUCCGGAAUCAUUGGGUUUAAAGGGUCCGUAGGCGGUUUUGUAAGUCAGUGGUGAAAUCCGGCAGCUCAACUGUCGCACUGCCAUUGAUACUGCAGGACUUGAAUUAUUGUGAAGUAACUAGAAUAUGUAGUGUAGCGGUGAAAUGCUUAGAUAUUACAUGGAAUACCCAUUGCGAAGGCAGGUUACUAACAAUAUAUUGACGCUGAUGGACGAAAGCGUGGGGAGCGAACAGGAUUAGAUACCCUGGUAGUCCACGCCGUAAACGAUGGAUACUAGCUGUUUGGAAGCAAUUCUGAGUGGCUAAGCGAAAGUGAUAAGUAUCCCACCUGGGGAGUACGAACGCAAGUUUGAAACUCAAAGGAAUUGACGGGGGCCCGCACAAGCGGUGGAGCAUGUGGUUUAAUUCGAUGAUACGCGAGGAACCUUACCAGGGCUUAAAUGUAGGUUGACAGGCUUGGAAACAGGUUUUUCUUCGGACAACUUACAAGGUGCUGCAUGGUUGUCGUCAGCUCGUGCCGUGAGGUGUCAGGUUAAGUCCUAUAACGAGCGCAACCCCUGUCGUUAGUUGCCAUCGAGUCAUGUCGGGAACUCUAACGGGACUGCCGGUGCAAACCGUGAGGAAGGUGGGGAUGACGUCAAAUCAUCACGGCCCUUACGUCCUGGGCUACACACGUGCUACAAUGGCCGGUACAGAGAGCAGCCACUGGGCGACCAGGAGCGAAUCUAUAAAACCGGUCACAGUUCGGAUCGGAGUCUGCAACCCGACUCCGUGAAGCUGGAAUCGCUAGUAAUCGGAUAUCAGCCAUGAUCCGGUGAAUACGUUCCCGGGCCU
This 1346-nucleotide ribosomal RNA is filed under the name uncultured bacterium. RNAcentral's name for it is "bacterial SSU rRNA". It matches the Rfam family "Bacterial small subunit ribosomal RNA", at positions 28 to 1381 of the family's 1533-position model. The record is from RNAcentral.